RNAcentral lists this unclassified non-coding RNA (200 nucleotides) under soil metagenome. RNAcentral's name for it is "partial contains internal transcribed spacer 2 and large subunit ribosomal RNA". The record is from RNAcentral.
AACCCAUCAAGCCUGGCUUGGUAUUGGCGUCGGGGCCUCCCCGCGCUUCAAUUUCACCGGCUGGCCGUCGCCUGUCUUAGCGUUGUGACACACUUCUCGCUUCUGACGGGACCGGACCACGCCGUCACAACUCACGAGUUUCGGUCGAAAUUCAUCAAAAGGUUGACCUCGGAUCGGGUAGGAAUACCCGCUGAACUUAA